AUGCUGGGAGAUGACACCYUUUCCUCACCCACCCUGCCCCACACCGUCCUUCACACUCACCUCCUUUGCUUUGGGAGCGGGUCGCGCAGAUGUGGCAAGGGAGAAAGGCUUCCUCUUGCUCUCACGUGCCUCAGACCUGCUCUCUCUUGGGCUGUCGCCCUUGCCCAGAAGCUCAGCCCCGUGCGCACCAUCCAGUUGUUGCUGAGCCCCUCCAGAGACUCUGCAUUCCCCGAGAGGACUCCCAGGUGCUCGGACACAAGACUGGGGUUUAUGCGCAGGGGCUGGCUUCGAAUGUGGGGGACGAUGUUCAAACCCGGCUGUCGUGAGCUCUUCCCUGCCCAGAUCCCCAGCCCGGCCCCCACGCCUGGGGCAGCUGGGGCAACGGCCCCGCCGGCAGCGCUGGGGCCCCUGGGGGUGGUGGGCACUGCUGUGGGGUGGUCGCUAGCAGGCCCUGCUCGCUGGCACCUGGAGAGCUCCUCAGCGAGUGCUGCUGCCUCGGGCACGUGUCUCUCGAAGCACGUUUCAUCCCUGCCAGUGUCUUGGUGGGAUCUGCUCUGCAGCAAGACGUCCCCAUCCGUGGUGUCAGCCACAGGGCGCGUGGUUUUGUCAGGCUCUGUGGUCUGGUCCUGGCCUCUGCUUGCUGACGCGUCUGGGCUGUCUGUGUGUGCCGACAGCCCCUGCACCACAGCCGUGCUGAGCUCCAAUGCACCUUCACCUGUGUCUGGCUGUGACGGCUGCCCACCGGGUCCUGGACUUGCACCUCCAGCACGGCUCCAGGCUGCCACCAGCAGCUGCCAGACUGAGUCCUGCAGGGCUUCGGCAGGUGGUGCGGGGCCGUGCGGGACAGGUCCCCGGCUCUCAGCCUCCCUGCCAUGCCCAGGUCUUGGAGGAUGCCUUGAGGAAGGCCUGCAGACUCCCUGGGAGAAGGCGUUGUGGACUGGCGUUGGCCCAUUUCACUGUUGUCUGCUCUCCUCCCUUCCAGUGUUGGCAAUAGUUUUCCUAUUAUGUCCCUCACCAAGGAAAYAUUCUCAGCAUUGA
RNAcentral lists this long non-coding RNA (1038 nucleotides) under Apteryx haastii (Great spotted kiwi). RNAcentral's name for it is "lncRNA (ENSAHAG00000001172.1)". Lineage: Eukaryota; Metazoa; Chordata; Aves; Apterygiformes; Apterygidae. The record is from RNAcentral.